Molecule: ribosomal RNA, 253 nt
Filed under: uncultured bacterium
Lineage: Bacteria
Description: partial 16S ribosomal RNA
Rfam family: Bacterial small subunit ribosomal RNA
Source: RNAcentral
UACAGAGGUGGCAAGCGUUGUUCGGAAUUACUGGGCGUAAAGGGCGCGUAGGCGGCUUGGUCAGUCCCGUGUGAAAUCCCUCGGCUCAACUGAGGAACUGCACGGGAAACUGCCUGGCUUGAGUUCGGGAGAGGGAAGCGGAAUUCCGGGUGUAGCGGUGAAAUUCGUAGAUAUUGGGAAGAACACCGGUGGCGAAGGCGGCUCACUGGCUCGUAUCUGACGCUCAGGCGCGACAGCGUGGGGAUCAAACAGG